UCCCUGGUGGCCCAGAUGGUAAAGCGUCUGUCUGCAAUGCGGGAGACCCAGGUUCGAUCCCUGGCUCUGGAA
This 72-nucleotide transfer RNA is filed under the name Ovis aries (sheep). It matches the Rfam family "tRNA". From Rfam's summary of the family: Transfer RNA (tRNA) molecules are approximately 80 nucleotides in length. The record is from Rfam by way of RNAcentral. Lineage: Eukaryota; Metazoa; Chordata; Mammalia; Artiodactyla; Bovidae.